GAUGAACGCUGGCGGCGUGCCUAAUACAUGCAAGUCGAGCGAACAGACGAGGAGCUUGCUCCUCUGACGUUAGCGGCGGACGGGUGAGUAACACGUGGAUAACCUACCUAUAAGACUGGGAUAACUUCGGGAAACCGGAGCUAAUACCGGAUAAUAUAUUGAACCGCAUGGUUCAAUAGUGAAAGACGGUUUUGCUGUCACUUAUAGAUGGAUCCGCGCCGCAUUAGCUAGUUGGUAAGGUAACGGCUUACCAAGGCAACGAUGCGUAGCCGACCUGAGAGGGUGAUCGGCCACCCUGGAACUGAGACACGGUCCAGACUCCUACGGGAGGCAGCAGUAGGGAAUCUUCCGCAAUGGGCGAAAGCUUGACGGAGCAACGCCGCGUGAGUGAUGAAGGUCUUCGGAUCGUAAAACUAUGUUAUUAGGGAAGAACAAAUGUGUAAGUAACUAUGCACGUCUUGACGGUACCUAAUCAGAAAGCCACGGCUAACUACGUG
RNAcentral lists this ribosomal RNA (497 nucleotides) under uncultured bacterium. RNAcentral's name for it is "partial 16S ribosomal RNA". It matches the Rfam family "Bacterial small subunit ribosomal RNA", at positions 28 to 507 of the family's 1533-position model. The record is from RNAcentral.